Molecule: long non-coding RNA, 297 nt
Filed under: Vicia faba (fava bean)
Lineage: Eukaryota; Viridiplantae; Streptophyta; Magnoliopsida; Fabales; Fabaceae
Source: RNAcentral
AUGCCACGCCUUUCCUCCGCCGUCUACGGGAAAGGAGACAAGCUGUUUCACACCAAAUCUGGACCGUUGAAUUUCCACUCGUCGCUGGUUUCUCGUGGUGCACAACUUGCUGUGGAUUAUGAUGACGACGCGCAACACGAUGAAGGUGACGAAGGACUGGAGAUCGCAAAGAUUGGAAUUUCUAAGGAGAUCGUGAACGCUCUUGCAAAGAAAGGUAUCACGAAGCUCUUCCCUAUUCAGAAAGCUGUGCUGGAACCUGCUAUGCAAAAGAGGACAUAUCAUAACAACACUGUAUAA